AGUUUCUAGUAUGGCUCACCAAGGCGACGACGGGUAGCCGGCCUGAGAGGGCGACCGGCCACACUGGGACUGAGACACGGCCCAGACUCCUACGGGAGGCAGCAGUGGGGAAUAUUGCACAAUGGGCGAAAGCCUGAUGCAGCGACGCCGCGUGAGGGAUGACGGCCUUCGGGUUGUAAACCUCUUUCAGCAGGGAAGAACCGAAAGUGACGGUACCUGCACAAGAGGGGCCGGCUAACUAGAAGACAUGAUGCGCGGUAAGACGUAGGGUGCCGCCGUUUGCGGGAAUUAUUCCGGCUCCUAACCACACAAGU
RNAcentral lists this ribosomal RNA (314 nucleotides) under Streptomyces neopeptinius. RNAcentral describes it as "bacterial SSU rRNA". It matches the Rfam family "Bacterial small subunit ribosomal RNA", at positions 247 to 576 of the family's 1533-position model. Lineage: Bacteria; Bacillati; Actinomycetota; Actinomycetes; Kitasatosporales; Streptomycetaceae. The record is from RNAcentral.